GCUCCAACAACAACAAGAAACAAGGUGAAAAUAACAAACAACAAUAAGAGAUAAACAACAUUAUGAUAAGAAGAACAACACUAGGAUAACAACAAUCUAACGUUACAAGAUGACAAAACUCAACAAGAACACACGGGUUCACUAGACAUCACAAACUAAGACAUGAAAUGUAAAGAUAGAAAGUGUGACAUACACUAUUACAAGGUUAAGAACCCAAAGAUGUAUUAAAUAUAAGGACCCCUAAGACUUACAAUAGCAACACCACAUCCUUACGAAGACACAAGAUCGGAAUCCACCUCUCAAAUACCAGCGUUUCCAAGCAAUACACAUUCACAAGUGAUUGCACACUUGCUCAUGUCCUAGUUUUGGCCUAGGGAGGCUCUCUCU
Molecule: long non-coding RNA, 387 nt
Filed under: Capsicum annuum
Lineage: Eukaryota; Viridiplantae; Streptophyta; Magnoliopsida; Solanales; Solanaceae
Description: long non-coding RNA (CANN_LNC014369)
Source: RNAcentral